Molecule: ribosomal RNA, 253 nt
Filed under: uncultured bacterium
Lineage: Bacteria
Description: partial 16S ribosomal RNA
Rfam family: Bacterial small subunit ribosomal RNA
Source: RNAcentral
UACAGAGGUGGCAAGCGUUGUUCGGAAUUACUGGGCGUAAAGGGCGCGUAGGCGGUUUGUCAAGUCUUGUGUGAAAGCCCCCGGCUCAACCGGGGAACUGCACGGGAAACUAGCAGGCUUGAGUUCGGGAGAGGGAAGCGGAAUUCCGGGUGUAGCGGUGAAAUGCGCAGAUAUCUGGAGGAACACCGGUGGCGAAGGCGGCUUCCUGGACCGACACUGACGCUGAGGCGCGAAAGCUAGGGGAGCAAACGGG